This is a long non-coding RNA of Oryza brachyantha (malo sina), 215 nucleotides long. RefSeq lists it as uncharacterized. The transcript has 3 exons. Lineage: Eukaryota; Viridiplantae; Streptophyta; Magnoliopsida; Poales; Poaceae. The record is from RefSeq and is a predicted model, not a curated record.
CCUCUCCUUCCAUGCCGCACAUCCUCCUCCCCCUAAACAGCCGUGAGCAGUCCCUUCUCCACCUCUCUCAUGGUUUUGACCCCGUUGAAGUGCCGUUCAUUCUGGAAGUCAUCGCCGAGGUUCCUCGUGGGUCAGAGCAACGCAAGUGAAACCCUCCUUUGAUCAUGUUGAUCCAAUAAAGCAAGCGCUUGAGUUUCAGUCAGAAGGUUGAUCCC